This is a long non-coding RNA of Xyrauchen texanus (razorback sucker), 1626 nucleotides long. RefSeq lists it as uncharacterized. The transcript is spliced from 3 exons. The record is from RefSeq and is a predicted model, not a curated record. Lineage: Eukaryota; Metazoa; Chordata; Actinopteri; Cypriniformes; Catostomidae.
CAACCUUUUUGAACUCUCUCACCCUUUUACAGCAUCUACUUCACUUUAGCAUGCAGAUUGUAUGAAUAUAAACGAUCCUCAGUAGUUCCAAGGGUCAGAAUUGCGCAGAAACGGCACAAACAACAGGUCAUUCUAUAGCGGAGAAUUCCCGUGGAUUUUUCACCGGAGAGACAGUUAAUCUUCAACUGCUGCACAGGCGUCACUCUCGCGCAGAAACUCAGCAGGCAACAGGAGCUUGACCCAGCACAGAAAGAAGCAGAUGCCAUCAAUGUUUUGGAGCAGGAAGACAGAAAGUUGCCUUUCAACCCACUGGAUUGUCCUUGAAAAUGUGUUGGGGACAUUUGUUAAAACUUGGGUCAGUGCACUGACUUUUUGGGCUACUUUGUGCCCUACACAUCAGCUACCCAAAGAACACUUUUUCUCUCUUUUUUGAGGUCAUACAGUAAAUGGGGUUGCAUCUUUAUGAUGGCAAGGUCUGGCCAAAUUUAAAAGAUCUUUUGAAUGAAUGGUUUAAUUUAUAAAUACAAACUGUUUCUGGUGGUUUUGUUACCGAAUUAGUUCAGAGAGUUUUCUCCUACCUGCAUAUAAUUCUGCAGCCCACUUGUUUUUUGUUUAUCAUCUUCAUAUUUUCCUGGUAUUAAUAAUAAUAAUAAUAAUAAUAAUAAUAAUAGUCAACACUGCUGUAAUGGUGUUUUCAUUCCAGCUGCUGAGGGUGUAACAGUAAAUUUGUCAUCUUUCUCUCUUCUGACUGUUGUAUCCAUCUCUCUGGUUUUUUCUCUUUUGGAAAGCCUUGGAAAUGUAAUAGCAGAUUUUUUUUUAUUUUACACAUAAUACUUGUAUGUGUAAAAGGCGAUACUCUUUGGAUACUUUGUUGGUUUUGUAUUAUUUCUGUUAAGAGAAUAAGAAAAUAUGUGCAAUGCUCUGAGUUUCAGGCUGGCAGCUGCAAGUUUGUUUACUCAUGGUGGCUGCUGACUCUUCACGAGUCACAUUACUUUAUGCAUCAUACAUGUUUGAGCAAUCACAGAUUGCAGCACCUCCCACAGUCCCUCUUUUCCCAAAAAGUACUUAGCCAAGAGUAGGAAAUAAAAAGUUCUCUCUAGACGGCUAAGAGGAGCUAUAGAUCCGCAUGUGUGAAAAAACGAGUAAAAGUAGCUAAAACAGGCUAGUUUUAGGUUAGUUCCAGUAAUAUCUACAGAUAUAUUUCAUGUAUGACCAGGGGGCAGAUUAUGACUAGCAAGGGCCCUGGGGUCAAUUUUGUUUUUCUUUCAUUCUCUUUCUUUCUUUCUUUCUUUCUUUCUGUUCAACCUGUAAAAAUGUCUAACUUUAAGCAUUUAAACCUAUUUUAAACUUUCAGACCAUAUUUUGUCAGACCAACAUUAUAGUUUGUCUCAACAAACUUUACAUAUCUAGUUUAAUCAGAACUUUUGAACCACACAAAGUAAAAUAUCAAUAUUUUUUCCCCAACCACCUAAGCCAAGUUAUUUUUUGUAAUGCAGGGCAAAAAUGCAGCUGUAGCAAUUAAUAAUAUAAUAAACAUUUUAGUUUGACACCUCUUUUAUAUAAAGAAUAAAGCUUGACGAUAUAAACAUAUGAAAUAAUGGUAAAAAUACUAUUUUUCAAACCUGU